AUCACGGGCCCGGGAUUCUCCAUCAGCCGUCGGGAAGGCGAACCAGGCGGAGGUCUGGGCGCGUCGGGCAAGUUGCGUGCGAUUCCGGUUUCCCCUCCUCGACUGAAAUCAGCCGCCGUCUUUCUCCAUCGCUGCUGUUCUGCCUUUUUCAACCCGGGGGUUUGUUUUGCUGUGCAAAUCCGUUCAUGCUCCAGAUGCAAGCAUGCUGUUUUAUCAGGUCUCCUCAUUACAUUGCCCUGAUAAAUCACUAGUAGUAAGACAAACCAGUGCCUCUGAGAGAAACACUCCAUUACAAGGUCUCUUUAGUCAUUCAUGGAUGAUGGGAGCAACCCCCUGCAGCUUCACUGUGUACCAUCCAUUCAGAAGGAGAAAACAGAGCUAGCCUUCCAUUAAUGCAGAUGAAAUGUCACCCACAGGAGAAUUAUGCAUAAGUGCAGUGAUUUAUUCCUAUGCCAUCCGAAAAGUUUGGAUUAGUCUCACAUGUCAUUCCAAACCCAAAUAACCUGGGGAGGGGGGGAAAUUAGAAUUUUUUUAUUAGUUCUAUUGUUACCUUCCUUAUUUAAUUAUAUGUCUUUUCCAUUUUGGCUCCCUACUUUUAGACUUGCAGGAUAAUUCAGGUUGAAAGGAAUCUCAGGAGGACGUCAAGUAAAACCCUCUGUGCAGAGGGUUUGCUUUACUUUGCCCUCUAGAGCAGGCAACUGAAGACUUUGCUAAGUUCAGAAUGUCUCUGCAAACAGAUUCCAUCAUCUUUCCAGACACCCUUUGCUGGUUCUUUCCCUGCAUAUGCAUAAGCUCAGUUCUAAAACUGUCCCCACCCAAUUUCCACAGUCACUCCAGUUUCAUUAAAUUUGCAGCUAGGAGACAGCAACAACAAUUCCAUGAGAGCAGUAGGAGCCUGGUAACAGGCAGAGAGGAAGUCCAGUAGACUUGAAGAGGUAAUUUCCCCUGAAUUUAUGGAAAGGGGAGAGGCAAUUAAUUUAUAGCUAUCUACAACUAAUGAGCAGUAAGAAGGAAAAGGAAAAUUUUAGCAGUGAGACAGCAAGAGAAAGGACUGGUAGAGCCAAUAACUUAUUUGCAAAUGCCCUUUUUCUUCAAUUGAACCAAAUUCAGGUUCAAUGGAAACAUUGUACCUCAGGGUGAAAUCAUUCAGGAAAGUUGCUAAUGGGUAGAAGAGUCCAGUUGGUCUCUUUUUUCACUCCCUCAAUAUUUUCUGCAUCAAUACUAUUUUUUUCUGUUUGCUUUCUGUGACUGCAAGUCCUAUCUGGUCUCUGGACAAUGGCAGGUUGCAGGUGAAAUUCCCAAAACCUGAGAAUAGAAGCAAGUUGUUUUUCUGCUAUGUAUAUACUCAUUCCCUCUUUCUCUGUGUGACACUUUCUCUGUAACAAAAUUUAUGUUCAGGCUGGCUGGCCUGCUGCUACAGCUUUCAGUUAAAAAACACAGGAAUUAUCAGGUAACUUUAUCUUUCUGCAGCUGUUGUCUUUUUCCAUCAUACCUGACCCACUGGUGUUGAAAGAUGCCUCUGGUCUGAAAAGAUCUGAUACUAACAAGAGAAACACUGAUCUCUGGGAAUUCAGAGGAAAAAGGCAAAAAUGCUCCUUUCCAAUAUGUGGUGAAAACUUCUGUACCACAGAUACAGGCUCUGCUAGAAAAGCCAUGCUUUGACCAUAUUUUUGGUUGUCACAGAAAUUAGUUUAUAGCUUAACUUCACAACUGUUUCUAUUUUUUAGUAAUUAGGGGAUGCAACUGUAACACACUAUCACUUUUCUAUAACAACAUUUAAGAAGAACACAGAUCAAAGCAAUGUAGCUCUACAUCACAUUUUGUGUCAAAGGUAUGCUGGUUGCUCUACAGAGCCACCCUAAAAUAUAACCUUGGAACCGUCAAAAGAGACAUUGUUGUCAGUUCCUCGUAAAUGAGUAUGUGGCUGAAGGCAAAUAAUUCCAAAUUGUGAUGAUAAGGGGCUACAGAGAUACAAACUAAGCAGUCUCAACACACUUCUUGUUCCAUUCUUUCAAACAUAGGCACUCUGAAGUCUGGUAACUAUUUUAUUAUCAUUAUCAACAUCUGUUGCUGUAUAGAAAUUUCUGUUACUUCAGAAUUGUUAUUUGUAAGUAAAAAUAAUCUAUGACAUUUACCUUUGAAAAUAAACCUGUCAUGCAGUUCAAUUGGUAGGAAGAAACUCAGAGAAACAAUUUAAAAUAAAUUUCAGAACAGCUUUACGUUUUAU
Long non-coding RNA from Passer domesticus (house sparrow), 2227 nucleotides. RefSeq lists it as uncharacterized. NCBI's taxonomy places the organism in Eukaryota, Metazoa, Chordata, Aves, Passeriformes, Passeridae. The record is from RefSeq and is a predicted model, not a curated record. The transcript is spliced from 3 exons.